Molecule: long non-coding RNA, 758 nt
Organism: Setaria italica (foxtail millet)
Lineage: Eukaryota; Viridiplantae; Streptophyta; Magnoliopsida; Poales; Poaceae
Exons: 2
Source: RefSeq, a predicted model, not a curated record
CUCCUCCUCUCCCUUUCUUCCAGAAACUUCCUCUCCUCCCUCUUCUCUCCUCCCUCUCCUCCUCUCUCCACUCUCUGCGCCGCUAGCGUGCAGGGCGCAGGGCCUCCCCGACCGGGCCGCCUGGCCUCCGGCGCAGGCUGCCGGAGCGCGGCGCGCACAGGGCCUCCGCAACUGGGCCGCAUGGCCUCCAGCGCACGGGGCCUCCCUGUUCGAGCCGCAUGGCCACUGGUGUACGGUGCGUCAGGCCUCCCUGACCAGGAGCCUGACCGCCGGCGUGGGGCUGGGCCGCCUGGCCUCCGAUGCGGGCCGCUGUCACAUGACGCGCGGGGAGCUGAAUAGGCAGCUGAAGGUGCGGCUCGGGAAGCUGCAUGGGCAUCAGAAAUGGAGGCCUUGGAUGCUAGUCGGAAAGCUACGAUCUCUAAAACGAGAGCGGAAAUGGCUUUCCUUCAAUAGAUUUAUGACGGCUCUGAUUUUUGCGUGGGGGUUUAUCUUCACGUCUUGGAUCCUUCGAAUCCGCUCUAUGUCUUAAUCUAGCUAGUACUGUACGUAUCCAUGGCCCAUCUAGCCAUCGUCGAUCAGUAUGGUUAUUAUUUGUUAGAAGCGUGCGCUUCAGAACAGAUGAUCCUGUCACCCUGUGGUUUGUUUUGCAAACUAGACAUGUCUCGAAAAAUUCCAUGUGUUUUUGUGGCGGAUGCACCGAAAAAUUUCAUGUGUUCUUCGAUAUUGGCAUAUUUGUGCAAAGUUAUUUGAGAAGUUCA